RNAcentral lists this ribosomal RNA (235 nucleotides) under uncultured bacterium. RNAcentral describes it as "partial 16S ribosomal RNA". It matches the Rfam family "Bacterial small subunit ribosomal RNA", at positions 284 to 524 of the family's 1533-position model. The record is from RNAcentral.
UCGCCCGCCGCGCGCGGCGGGCGGGGCGGGGGCACGGGGGGCCUACGGGAGGCAGCAGUAGGGAAUUUUCGGCAAUGGGGGAAACCCUGGCCGAGCAACGCCGCGUGAAGGAAGAAGGUCUUCGGAUUGUAAACUUCUGUUAUAAAGGAAGAACGAGAUAUGCAGGAAAUGGUAUAUCAGUGACGGUACUUUAUGAGGAAGCCACGGCUAACUACGUGCCAGCAGCCGCGGUAAU